CAGUAGGGAGGAAGGUAGUGUAGUUAACACCUGCAUUAUUUGACGUUACCUACAGAAGAAGCACCGGCUAACUCCGUGCCAGCAGCCGCGGUAAUACGGAGGGUGCGAGCGUUAAUCGGAAUUACUGGGCGUAAAGCGCAUGCAGGCGGCCUGUUAAGUCAGAUGUGAAAGACCCGGGGCGUUAACCUCGGAAUUGCAUUUGUAAACUGGCAGGCUAGAGUCUUGUAGAGGGGGGUAGGAAUUUCAGGUGUAGCGGUGAAAUGCGUAGAGAUCUGAAGGAAUACCAGUGGCGAAGGCGGCCCCCUGGACAAAGACUGACGCUCAGAUGCGAAAGCGUGGGGAGCAAACAGGAUUAGAUACCCUGGUAG
This 368-nucleotide ribosomal RNA is filed under the name uncultured bacterium. RNAcentral's name for it is "bacterial SSU rRNA". It matches the Rfam family "Bacterial small subunit ribosomal RNA", at positions 434 to 793 of the family's 1533-position model. The record is from RNAcentral.